This is a long non-coding RNA of Zingiber officinale, 270 nucleotides long. RefSeq lists it as uncharacterized. The transcript has 3 exons. The record is from RefSeq and is a predicted model, not a curated record. NCBI's taxonomy places the organism in Eukaryota, Viridiplantae, Streptophyta, Magnoliopsida, Zingiberales, Zingiberaceae.
GCAUUUCACGUGAAGAUUGGAGUAGUUUUGUGAUUAAUCGGAUGUCUGAAGACUUUAUAAGGAAAAGUGAACUACAAAGUCAGAGAAGCAAGGAAAACUUAUACCCUCAUCGUCUUUCUCGAAAAGGAUAUGCGGGUUUGUCUGAAGAAAUAUCCAAUGUUUUAUGUGAUGACGAAGAGAUAAACAGAGCCAUCCUCUGGAAGAAAGGGCGGCUCAACAAAGCUGGGGAAUAUGUUGGCGAUGAGUUGAAGCAAACAGUGAAUAAGAUUG